CCCACACUGGAGGUACGUUAGGGUUCCACCUGAGCUCUUCCUUCUUCCCCCUCUGCUCGUCUACCAUUUGAUUCCUCGCCGCCUGUGGCUUCUUCCCCGUUGUCAUGGAGUCGGGCAAAGGUCCUGUUGUCGCGGACGAUUAAGCGAUUUGCUGGCUGCAGCCAGGCGUGCAAGGGUCGUCGUUGCACGCAAAGCCGCCUUCGUUGCUAGUGCUGCCGCCGAAGCUGCCAAUGAUGCUAGUGCGACGGCUUUGGAGAUGAUUGUUCAAAUUGAGAAGGCGAACGCCGAGGCUACCAAGAAAGCUCCUAGACCUCUGCGUCGUGAUGUAUGAUAUGCAUUUUUCUUCGAUCCUAAAAUUACUUUGUCAUUUGAAAUAGG
RNAcentral lists this unclassified non-coding RNA (378 nucleotides) under Zea mays. Its description in RNAcentral is "misc RNA Zm00001eb204610". Lineage: Eukaryota; Viridiplantae; Streptophyta; Magnoliopsida; Poales; Poaceae. The record is from RNAcentral.